ACUUCCAAAGGACAGAAGUAAUCC
RNAcentral lists this transfer RNA (24 nucleotides) under Pelusios bechuanicus. Its description in RNAcentral is "partial transfer RNA-Leu". The record is from RNAcentral. Lineage: Eukaryota; Metazoa; Chordata; Testudines; Pelomedusidae.